RNAcentral lists this ribosomal RNA (384 nucleotides) under Notopterus notopterus (bronze featherback). Its description in RNAcentral is "partial small subunit ribosomal RNA". It matches the Rfam family "Bacterial small subunit ribosomal RNA", at positions 848 to 1396 of the family's 1533-position model. Lineage: Eukaryota; Metazoa; Chordata; Actinopteri; Osteoglossiformes; Notopteridae. The record is from RNAcentral.
AAUAAAGCACAAAUAUUAUCCGCCAGGGAACUACAAGCGCAUUGCUUAAAACCCAACGGACUUGGCGGUGCCCCACACCCACCUAGAGGAGCCUGUUCUAUAACUGACAACCCCCGUUUAACCUCACCACUUCUAGCCCUCCCAGUCUAUAUACCACCGUCGUAAGCUCACCCUGUGAAGGAAACAGCAGUAAGCAAGAUGAGCAUAGCCCAAAACGUCAGGUCGAGGUGUAGCAUAUGAAGUGGGAAGAAAUGGGCUACAUUUUCUGACAAACAGAAUAUACGGACACUACCAUGAAACCUGGUACUCGAAGGAGGAUUUAGCAGUAAAAAGAAAAUAGAGUGUUCUUUUGAAACCGGCCCUGGGGCGCGCACACACCGCCCG